GCCAGUGUAGCAUAGUGGUUUGAGUGUUGCACUACGACUCUGGAGACCAGGGUUCAAAUACCUGCUCCGCCA
Phrynosoma platyrhinos (Desert horned lizard) is the source of this 72-nucleotide non-coding RNA. NCBI's taxonomy places the organism in Eukaryota, Metazoa, Chordata, Lepidosauria, Squamata, Phrynosomatidae. The record is from the annotation of a GenBank genome assembly.